ACACCUACGGGUGGCAGCAGUGGGGAAUCUUGCGCAAUGGGCGAAAGCCUGACGCAGCAACGCCGCGUGCGGGAAGAAGGCCCUCGGGUUGUAAACCGCUUUCAGCAGGAACGAAAAUGACGGUACUUGCAGAAGAAGGUGCGGCCAACUACGUGCCAGCAGCCGCGGUGACACGUAGGCACCAAGCGUUGUCCGGAUUUAUUGGGCGUAAAGAGCUCGUAGGCGGUUCGGUAAGUCGGGUGUGAAAACUUUGGGCUUAACCCAAAGCCUGCAUCCGAUACUGCUGUGACUAGAGUUCGGUAGGGGAGCGGGGAAUUCCUAGUGUAGCGGUGAAAUGCGCAGAUAUUAGGAGGAACACCGGUGGCGAAGGCGCCGCUCUGGGCCGAUACUGACGCUGAGGAGCGAAAGCGUGGGUAGCAAACAGGAUUAGAUACCCUGGUAGUCCACGCCGUAAACGUUGGGCACUAGGUGUGGGUUUCAACCAACGAAAUCCGCGCCGUCGCUAACGCAUUAAGUGCCCCGCCUGGGG
This 529-nucleotide ribosomal RNA is filed under the name uncultured bacterium. RNAcentral's name for it is "bacterial SSU rRNA". It matches the Rfam family "Bacterial small subunit ribosomal RNA", at positions 335 to 878 of the family's 1533-position model. The record is from RNAcentral.